AUCGUUUAUUUGUUCGCCAUUUGAUAUUGUAGUGUGAUUCUAAAAGCAAGCACCUGUUUUAAUUAUGAGUUGUGGACCUAUCAGAAUAAGGUGCUAUAUAACCGUAAUAAUAUGUUUAAAAAUCAGAUUUAUUAACAAGAACCAAACAAAUUAACAAAUUAGUAAAAUGUGGUACUAUACCAUUAGCAUAAAACCAAUGCGAUCCACUG
Molecule: unclassified non-coding RNA, 209 nt
Filed under: Hevea brasiliensis (rubber tree)
Lineage: Eukaryota; Viridiplantae; Streptophyta; Magnoliopsida; Malpighiales; Euphorbiaceae
Source: RNAcentral